GCAAACUUGGUCAUUUAGAGGAAGUAAAAGUCGUAACAAGGUUUCCGUAGGUGAACCUGCGGAAGGAUCAUUCACAAAAGUGUUUACCGUAUGGACACUAUAAAUACACAUAUUCUCACUCACCAUGUGUGCAAUGUCUAUUUUUCUUGCUGCAACUCUUGUCGAGAAAAAUUGUUGUUUUCCACAUACAAAAUGUGUUUGCUUUUUUGUGUUGUUGGCCUUACAGAAUGGAAUUGUAUGAAAUAAACACAACUUUCAACAACGGAUCUCUUGGCUCUCGCAUCGAUGAAGAACGCAGC
RNAcentral lists this unclassified non-coding RNA (299 nucleotides) under uncultured fungus. RNAcentral describes it as "partial contains small subunit ribosomal RNA, internal transcribed spacer 1, and 5.8S ribosomal RNA". The stretch from base 1 to 73 matches the Rfam family "Eukaryotic small subunit ribosomal RNA", at positions 1759 to 1831 of the family's 1831-position model. Lineage: Eukaryota; Fungi. The record is from RNAcentral.